UGUCCGACGAAGCUAGGUGACUUGGGAGAAUAUUGACACUUCCGUUAACAAAACUUACAAAUACAUUUAUAAUAAACCUUGCUACUUAGACACAUGGAAAGUGUCUAAAUACCAAACAUCACGUAUGUGGCUGUAACAGACGUCCCAUGUUUGGAAAGCUUCUUAUUCAGCAAAGAUCUAGCUGGCAAUGGACAUAUGACUCCGACAAAACGAUAAAUAUGGCAUAUAUGUUACUUGGUCUGACGACUGUGCUUGUGAUUAUUCCAGCUCACUGUGCAUAUUCGUUUGGUCGACAGUUCAUUUUCGGAAUCCCAGAGACAUAUAGCUCGCCCGAUUGUAUCAGGAUGUACAUUGUAAGCAAGGAUGUUUCCAAAGUAUAUAUGACUGCUCCCGGAAUCGGGUUCAACCAAAGUAUAACAACAUCUGCACAAACGUCCACUACAGUAAUUAUUCCAGGCAAUGUUGUAGCCACUUCAACCGAUUAUUCCAACAAAGUCGUUUAUGUUGAAGCGGACCAACCCAUAUCCGUACAUGUCAUGGUUAGGAAUGAGCACACCUCAGAUGGCUUCCUACUUUUACCCAUUUCUGAUGACGCCAUCGAUUUCUUUGUUGCAUCAUACGAACCCAGAGAACGGACUAGCCAGUUUAUUAUCGCUGCUCUUGAAGACAACACUCGGAUUGAAGUUCAACUGAAAACAUCUGCUGGAGCUAUACCAAUUGGUGGAGGAAGUUACAGCACUGGGAAGAAAGUCUCAUUUGCACUAGGCAAAUUGCAAACGUACUUGGUGCAACAUGAAUAUGACUUGACAGGAACGCACAUAACUAGUUCUAAACCUAUUUCGGUUGUAUCAGGUAAUAAAUGUGCGAAUGUUCCACAUGAUGUAACUGCAUGCGAUUACUUAGCUGAGCAGUUGCUUCCAGCUCGUUUUUGGCAAAAGAAUAUUUGUGUGCGAGACUCAAAACUAGAAGAAACAACAGAUUGCGCGUGCUUUCUUCAAAAAAUGAUACCUCAUUCCACAUAGGAACAACACGCGUUACACUCAAUGAAGGUGAGUGCUAUGCAUAUGUCAGCUCAAGUGAUGCUGUUAAAUCAGUGAUAUCAAAUCAUCCGGUCUUAGUACUUCAAUUUUCCGAAGGAACAUCUGCGGAUUCAGUGAUAGGAUAGCAUGAUUACAGUUCCCGCUACAGAAAAUCAAGAAACUGAAUAUAUCUACGAAACUCCAACGUCCCUGUCUUACCACCAUGCCUCGAUAACUAUCAAGACAGACCAGGCAACCGGACUACGAAUUGACGGUGCUUCAUUUGACCGUUCAGAUGAACUGAGAACAACAUUAAACAAUAUUCAGACGGACCAUGAGACGCGGUUUGUGUUCCAAGCGUUCCAGAUGAGCGGAUCAGACCAUCGCCUGUACAUCACAUGUGACGCCACGCUAUGUGACACGUCAGAGGUGACGUCUUCCCAGCAGUGUGAUCAGAGGCCUCACUGCACGAAGAAAAAAUAAUCUUAAAGAAAUGUCUUUAUUGAUAAUUUCACAAUUGUAUACAUACGUGUAAUUACAAUUUGCCGUGGUUAAAAUGAUUAAAACCCAAAACUAUU
Molecule: RNA transcript, 1597 nt
Organism: Dreissena polymorpha
Lineage: Eukaryota; Metazoa; Mollusca; Bivalvia; Myida; Dreissenidae
Gene name: CUB and zona pellucida-like domain-containing protein 1
Exons: 5
Source: RefSeq, a predicted model, not a curated record